ACGCAAGUGUGAAACUCAAAGGAAUUGACGGGGGCCCGCACAAGCGGUGGAGUAUGUGGUUUAAUUCGAUGCAACGCGAAGAACCUUACCAGGGUUUGACAUCCUGCGAACCUCUUAGAAAUUUGAGGGUGCCUUCGGGAAUGCAGUGACAGGUGGUGCAUGGCUGUCGUCAGCUCGUGUCGUGAGAUGUUGGGUUAAGUCCCGCAACGAGCGCAACCCACGUUUUUAGUUGCCAGCAUUUAGUUGGGCACUCUAGAAAGACCGCCGGUGAUAAACCGGAGGAAGGUGUGGAUGACGUCAAGUCAUCAUGCCCCUUACACCCUGGGCUACACACGUACUACAAUGCUACGGACAAAGGGCAGCAAACUCGCGAGAGCUAGCAAAUCCCAUAAACCGUGGCUCAGUUCAGAUCGUAGGCUGCAACUCGCCUACGUGAAGUAGGAAUCGCUAGUAAUCGCAGGUCAGCAUACUGCGGUGAAUACGUUCCCGGGCCUUGUACACACCGCCCGUCACACCAUGGAAGUUGGCCAUGCCCGAAGUCGUUACUCCAACCCUUGUGGAGGAGGACGCCGAAGGUGGGGCUAAUGACUGGGGUGAAGUCAUAACAAGGUAGCCGUA
RNAcentral lists this ribosomal RNA (618 nucleotides) under uncultured bacterium. Its description in RNAcentral is "bacterial SSU rRNA". It matches the Rfam family "Bacterial small subunit ribosomal RNA", at positions 886 to 1504 of the family's 1533-position model. The record is from RNAcentral.